RNAcentral lists this ribosomal RNA (427 nucleotides) under uncultured bacterium. RNAcentral's name for it is "bacterial SSU rRNA". It matches the Rfam family "Bacterial small subunit ribosomal RNA", at positions 355 to 774 of the family's 1533-position model. The record is from RNAcentral.
UGGGGAAUAUUGGACAAUGGGCGAAAGCCUGAUCCAGCCAUGCCGCGUGUGUGAAGAAGGUCUUCGGAUUGUAAAGCACUUUAAGUUGGGAGGAAGGGCUGCAAGUUAAUACCUUGUAGUUUUGACGUUACCAACAGAAUAAGCACCGGCUAACUUCGUGCCAGCAGCCGCGGUAAUACGAAGGGUGCAAGCGUUAAUCGGAAUUCCUGGGUUUAAAGGGUGCGUAGGCGGGCAUGUAAGUCAGUGGUGAAAUACCGGAGCUUAACUUCGGAACUGCCAUUGAUACUAUAUGUCUUGAAUAUUGUGGAGGUAAGCGGAAUAUGUCAUGUAGCGGUGAAAUGCAUAGAUAUGACAUAGAACACCGAUUGCGGAGGCAGCUUGCUACGCAAAUAUUGACGCUGAGGCACGAAAGCGUGGGGAUCAAACA